GACGAACGCUGGCGGCGUGCUUAACACAUGCAAGUCGAGCGGUAAGGCCCUUUCGGGGGUACGACGAGCGGCGAACGGGUGAGUAACACGUGGGUGACCUGCCCUCAGCUCUGGGAUAAGCCUGGGAAACUGGGUCUAAUACUGGAUAUGACUCCACGGUGCAUGUCGUGGGGUGGAAAGCCUUGUGCGGCUGAGGAUGGGCCCGCGGCCUAUCAGCUUGUUGGUGGGGUGAUGGCCUACCAAGGCGACGACGGGUAGCCGGCCUGAGAGGGCGACCGGCCACACUGGGACUGAGACACGGCCCAGACUCCUACGGGAGGCAGCAGUGGGGAAUCUUGCGCAAUGGGCGAAAGCCUGACGCAGCGACGCCGCGUGAGGGAUGACGGCCUC
This 390-nucleotide ribosomal RNA is filed under the name uncultured bacterium. RNAcentral's name for it is "bacterial SSU rRNA". It matches the Rfam family "Bacterial small subunit ribosomal RNA", at positions 28 to 418 of the family's 1533-position model. The record is from RNAcentral.